This 617-nucleotide ribosomal RNA is filed under the name Scytonema sp. LCRSM-25G. RNAcentral's name for it is "bacterial SSU rRNA". It matches the Rfam family "Bacterial small subunit ribosomal RNA", at positions 99 to 748 of the family's 1533-position model. Lineage: Bacteria; Bacillati; Cyanobacteriota; Cyanophyceae; Nostocales; Scytonemataceae. The record is from RNAcentral.
CGGACGGGGUUGGUAACGCGUGAGAAUCUGGCUUCAGGUCUGGGACAACAGUUGGAAACGGCUGCUAAUACCGGAUGUGCCGAAAGGUAAAAGGCUUGCUGCCUGAAGAUGAGCUCGCGUCCGAUUAGUUAGUUGGUGUGGUAAGAGCGCACCAAGACGGCGAUCGGUAGCUGGUCUGAGAGGACGACCAGCCACACUGGAACUGAGACACGGUCCAGACUCCUACGGGAGGCAGCAGUGGGGAAUUUUCCGCAAUGGGCGAAAGCCUGACGGAGCAAUACCGCGUGAGGGAGGAAGGCUCUUGGGUUGUAAACCUCUUUUCUCAGGGAAUAAAAAAAUGAAGGUACCUGAGGAAUAAGCAUCGGCUAACUCCGUGCCAGCAGCCGCGGUAAUACGGAGGAUGCAAGCGUUAUCCGGAAUGAUUGGGCGUAAAGCGUCCGCAGGUGGUUAGUCAAGUCUGCUGUCAAAGAAUCUGGCUUAACUAGAUAAAGGCAGUGGAAACUGAAAGACUAGAGUAUGGUAGGGGUAGAGGGAAUUCCUGGUGUAGCGGUGAAAUGCGUAGAGAUCAGGAAGAACACCGGUGGCGAAAGCGCUCUGCUGGACCAAAACUGACCCUG